GAUGGUGCCUGGAAAAAGGGUCAUAUGCUAGCUGGAGCUGAAAACCCUAUAAAGAAGGCUGAAGGCUCCACACAGACAACUAACAGACCCUCUGUGCAGCUCCCUGCUUUCUUUAGAUCCCUUUCUCUUCUGUCCUUGCAAAUUGGAGAUACUUGAACGGCGAUCUCCAUAUAGUGAGCAAGAUGUAUAAUCCUCCCAGUGCGCAGGACAUGUCCUACUACGGUCAUGUUCAGAAGCGCCAUGAGGAGAAGGGCUGCCUAUAUGCAUGCCUGUUCACAGCGUGCUGCUGCUUCUGCUGCUACGAGACCUGUGAGUGCUGCCUCGAGGCCAUCUGCUGCUGCUGCUAGUUCAGCUUAGACGGCAUGCAUGGGCAUCCAUCAUCGUGGAGAUGCUGCCUCAAUGCUAGCUGUCCCGUACACAAAUAAAAUGCUGUACUUAUAUGCACGUACACUAAAAAUGCAUUAGUGUCUGGAUGUGUAAUCGUGUUGUGUGUGCAUCUUUAUUUGCAUUUGAGAAUGCUUUGUGAAAUGCUGUAAAUCUGUUGUAUGCAUAUUGGUCAGAUGAAUUUAGUGUGACGCAUGUGUAUCAAACUGAAAUUACUGCACUAUUGAGAUGAUGAAGAUUUACCUUUU
Long non-coding RNA from Sorghum bicolor (sorghum), 632 nucleotides. RefSeq lists it as uncharacterized. The transcript is spliced from 2 exons. The record is from RefSeq and is a predicted model, not a curated record. Lineage: Eukaryota; Viridiplantae; Streptophyta; Magnoliopsida; Poales; Poaceae.